This is an RNA transcript of Carlito syrichta (Philippine tarsier), 516 nucleotides long. It is a transcript of the gene named 60S ribosomal protein L35a pseudogene, with no coding region annotated. NCBI's taxonomy places the organism in Eukaryota, Metazoa, Chordata, Mammalia, Primates, Tarsiidae. The record is from RefSeq and is a predicted model, not a curated record. The transcript has a single exon.
UGGCUCCCGGUGAACUACUGCUCUGGCCUGCUGGGAACAGGACUUCUAAGAGGCAAAUAUGUCUGGAAGGCUGUGGUCCAAAGCCAUUUUUGCUGGCUAUAAGAGAGGUCUCCGGAACCAAAGGGAGCACACAGCUCUUCUCAAAAUUGAAGGUGUUUAUGCCCGAGAUGAAACUGAAUUCUAUUUGGGCAAGAGAUGUGCUUAUGUAUAUAAAGCAAAGAAUAACACAGUGACUCCUGGCGGCAAACCAAACAAAACCAGAGUAAUCUGGGGAAAGGUAACUCGGGCCCAUGGAAACAGUGGCAUGGCUCGUGCCAAAUUCCGAAGCAACCUUCCUGCUAAGGCCAUUGGACACAGAAUCCGUGUAAUGCUGUACCCCUCAAGAAUUUAAACUAAUGGAAAGUAAGUAAAUAAAAGUGGAUGUGUGUUCUUGUAUUUUUGUUAAGUGGCUUUAAAAACCUUAUUGCCCUUGAGUUGCUAUUAAAGUGGUGGAGGUUAUCCAUCAUUUUCAAAAUA